UUAGCUCAGUUGGUAGAGCAAAUGACUGUUAAUCAUUGGGUCGCUGGUUCGAGCCCAGCA
Molecule: transfer RNA, 60 nt
Filed under: Alcanivorax sp.
Lineage: Bacteria; Pseudomonadati; Pseudomonadota; Gammaproteobacteria; Oceanospirillales; Alcanivoracaceae
Description: tRNA-Asn
Rfam family: tRNA
About the family: Transfer RNA (tRNA) molecules are approximately 80 nucleotides in length.
Source: RNAcentral